UGUAACACCCUAAUCUAAAUAAAGUGUUAAAUAUGAAUUUAAAUAAUUUUUGACAGCGAAAAUAUCAUAAAAUAAAGAUUUGGAUUUAUUUUCAAAUAAAUAAAUUUUUAAAUAAAAUAUUUGAAAUAACUUAAAAAGAAGGCCAGCCAUGAUAGGAAGCUAAUAUGAUAACACUAAACUCGAUAAGUUACACCAAAAUCUCAAGAGUAGUUUGAGACUUCGAAAACUGUACAAAGCAAAAGGUUAGGUGUAACUACAACAUUAUAUUUUUCCAAAAAAUAUUUACUUGACGCGCUCAUUCGAUCCUCUACGCGUCUCCAACCUUAGUUACCUGAAAAUGUUAAAUAUGGGAUGAGCAUAUGAAAUAUACUCAGUGUGGGAACAUGCAAUAAUUGUCCACGUUAAUAAAAUGGUCAACACAUAAGCACUGCACUGUAAUACUGAUAACUGAAAUUCGCACGGUGGCAUACCAAGGACUUUAAAGUCCUGGACCCCAUUGAGCGGGCCCCUGGCCGAAUAGGUUGCACCUAACUGUAACAUGAAAUCGCAUUGUGGCAUACCAAGGACGGUGAAGUCCUGGACCCAUUGAGCGGCCCCUAGCGAUAUAACUGAAUUUAAACACAUAUGGCAAACACAUAAUAUUAAAAAUGGACAAAAUUAACCACCAUGUACUGAAAUAAAUCCACCCUGAAUUGAACUGAAAUAACUUGAUAGUAAUGAAAGUUCACGUUCCUAGUCGGCCGCACCUAGCUCUAAAUUCAAAUAGUAACAUAAGGGCCUAAUUGAACUUUACAAAAUACCUUAAUAUAACUAAACUUGAGAAAACUAUUUAUAAAAGUCUUUCAAUAAAAUUUGAACUGAAAAAAAAUGAUAAUUAAAUAAAUUAUAAUUGCUACUUAGAAGAGUAAUUAAAAUAAAAACCCAAUUGAUUAUUAUAAUUAAGGCCCAACCACUUAAUAAACUGAGCCCAAUUAAUUAAAACUAACCUAAGCCCAAGCCCCAAGCCCACUAUCAACCUCUAAUUUAAACUCACACCCAACUCCACUCCACACAUUCACACGCAGCUCACUCCCUCUCUCCCUUCCUCCCUCGGCCUUCUUCCUCUCGGCCUCUUGCCGCCGCACCUCCGGACGGCAGCGCCGUCAGCGCAGACCGGCGGCUCCGCCGCCUCUCCCUCUUCUUCCUAUCUCCCUCUUCCCUCACUCUCACUCCCUCUGUCCCUCUCCUCACCGCGUCUCCCCCUUCUCCGGCGACCCUCGCCGUCUGCCAGCACCUCCUCCUGGCCGUCAGCAGCGGCACCCUUGUCGCCGCCGUGUCGACAGCACAAGCCGGUCAGGCCGCCUUCUCCCUCUUCCUGAAAAGAGACGCACAGCCGAGACCAUAGCGCCGCCGCCCUGCUCCUUCCGCCACCACCCCCUGCUUCCUUCCGCCGGCCGCCAUGGCGCGCAGCGCCGGCGGUACUGCUGCUCAACCACCCCUCCCCCUGUUCUAAGCCACAACCCCUUUCCAGUUCAUUCUUUCUAUUUUCCUUUUCUUCUUGUAAGCAGUGAUAUGCAUGUUUGAAUUAGAAAAAAAUAAGAACUUUUGUGGGUGUUUGGUUUUGUGCAGAGAUGAACAACAGUAAAUGAAAUAACUUUGUAAAAUCAAUUAAAAUUUACCAGCUUGGAUUCUGUAAUGAGAGAUGGAAAUGGGUUUGUAUGCUGUAGGCGAAACAGACGAGGAAAAGGCGAAUUGGGGACGAUGAUUUGAGGUUUAAAUAGAGCUGCAAGAUUAAGUUUUUACCACAAAAAUGAAACGUGAGCUGCUUGUUCACGUAAGAAAAUUUGUGGAUGAUAAAGGAACCAAAAUUGUGGUUGAGAAAACUGGACGUGCUCCCCAAGCUGAAAAUGGAAAUGAGUGGGCUCUUAAUGUUGAAAGUAAAUUUUGAGAUAAGGCCCAAUAGAGAAAUUUGUAAUAUUCAAUUAUGGCCCAACUUUGAGCAUAAAAAUUUCAUUUGUUAAGUUAAUAAUCUGCAAUCUAAAAUUAUUUAUCUAACUAGGGGCGCGACUAUAUAAUUCACGAACUUGCUAUAUAAAUAUUCUUUUCAUGAUUUAAAAAUUAGUUAAAAUAUAAAUAAUGAAAUCAAACAAAUAUCCAGAUAAUCAAAUAAUUAAAUGGGUUUCGGGCUGUCACAACCCUACCCACUAAAAGAAAAUUUCGUCCUCGAAAUUUAACUUACUUGGUUCUAAGUGGGGAUAGCGAGCUAGGAUUUCUUCUUCACGUUCCCAAGUUGCUUCAUCAGGUCCGUGCCUAGUCCAUUGAAUUUUUACUAAGGGUAUUUCUUUACCCCGCAAAACCUUUACCUUCCGAUCCAGUAUGACAUUCGGCUCCUCUUCGUACGUGAGGUCCUUAUUGAUUUGGAGUUCUUCAUGAUGAAUGAUGUGACUAGGAUCGUGCAGAUAUUUUCGCAGCAUGGAGACGUGAAACACGUUAUGUACAGCCGACAAUUCUGGCGUUAAAGCUAAACGAUAGGCUACAUCUCCUAUGCGCUCUAGGAUUUCAAAAGGUCCAAUGAAUCGAGGUCUCAACUUUCCUUUCUUGCCGAAUCGUAGGACUCCUUUCAUUGGUGCCACUUUGAGAAACACCUUUUCGCCCACCUCAAAAUGUAACUCUUUUCGCCUGCGAUCAGCAUAUGAUUUCUGUCGAUCCUGAGCCAUUUUAAUCUUCUCUUUUAUUUUCCCGAUGACCUCAACCGUUCUCUCAACGAUUUCCGGGCCCAACACUUUUCGUUCACCAACUUCGUCCCAAUAUAGUGGCGAUCUACACUUUCUCCCAUAUAACGCUUCGUAUGGAGGCAUGCCAAGGGUCGUUUGAAAACUGUUGUUAUAUGCGAAUUCGAUCAAGGGCAGGUGAGUUUCCCAAUUGCCUCCAAUAUCCAUGACACUAGUUCGCAGCAUGUCUUCUAGAAUUUGAAUAGUUCUUUCAGAUUGUCCAUCUGUUUGAGGAUGAUAUGCUGUUGAAAAGUUGAGCUUCGUUCCCAUGGCUGCAUGUAAACUUUUCCAAAACCUGGACGUGAAUCUUGGAUCUCGAUCAGAAACAAUGGAUACUGGCACUCCAUGUAGUCUCACCACUUCUUGAACAUACAAUCUCGCCAAUUGGUNUCAAUAAUUCUCAUCGCGGUUUUACUCACGCGAAGCUAACUGGCUUAGUAAUAAAAUAAUAACCCUGCUUCAAUUAGAAUAUAAUCCAGUGUCAUAAGCUGAAUUUAAAUCAUAAAUAAUUACUGGACUUGAUUUACUGAAAGAUGAAAUAAUAAUUAUCGUAUUACUGGAUUUAAAUAUAAUAAAAGAGCGGGCUACUACAGUCGAUGAAAACUAUGACGAACUUGUCCAAAUAUGAGUGAAAAACACGAUUCAUCAGGUCCAUAAAUACCGCUGGAGCAUUGGUUAGACCGAAUGGCAUAACUACAAACUCAUAAUGACCGUAUCUUGUCCGAAAAGCUGUUUUAGGUACAUCAGUACCCUUUAUCUUGAGUUGGUGGUAGCCCGACCUCAAAUCAAUUUUAGAAAACACCUUUGCACCUUUCAAUUGGUCGAACAAAUCUUCUAUCCUUGGUAGAGGAUACUUGUUCUUGAUGGUAAGUCGAUUAAGCUCACGGUAGUCGAUACACAUACGCAUUGUCCCAUCUUUCUUCUUAACAAACAAGACAGGCGCUCCCCAAGGUGAUACACUUGGCCGUAUGAACCCUAUGUCCAAAAGCUCUUGUAGUUGUGUUUUCAAUUCCUCCAAUUCCUUUGGUGCCAUCCUAUAUGGUGCUUUUGAAACGGGUGCUGUUCCAGGCACUAAGUCGAUCGCGAACUCCACUUGCCUGUCUGGUGGUAUUCCAGGUAAAUUCUCGGGAAAAACAUCGGGGUAAUCACGUACCACUGGCACACUUUGGAGAGUAAGUUUUUCAUGUUCCUUGCCUACAAUGCUUACGAGAUAAGCCUCGCCAAAGCCUUUGUUCAAUAUCUUUAUCGCUUUCAUCGCAGAUAUCACCAUAGGCAUUCUUCCUAACUUUGAUCCUUGGAACGAAAAUUCUUUCUUUCCUGGUACUUUGAAAGUAACUUCCCUUUCGUGACACUUAAUUGUCGCAAAGUUUCGACUUAGCCAGUCCAUUCCCAAAAUCACAUCGAAGUCGUGCAUCUCUAUGAGGUACAAAUCGGCUUCAAACUUUCUAUUUCUAAAGUUCAAGGGAAUUCUCCGAGCAAUCCUAUUCGUUUUAAUGCAUUCUCCAGAAGGAACACUUAUGUUCAAGGCUAAGUUUUCUACUUCACAAGGGAUAUGAUUCUUUUGACAAAACUUAGCAGAAAUGAACGAGUGCGAAGCUCCAGAAUCAAAUAGAACAACUGCUGGUGUUCCAGAUAUGAGUAACGUACCAGUCAUUGUGUCAUCGUCCUCUGCUUCUUCUUGAUCAGCUAAAGCGAAGAAUCGAGCAUUUCCUUUCUUUUCUGGCUCUUUGCCUCCUCUUUUGUCUGGCCCAACAUUUUUCUUCCCUUCUAGCGCAUUGUUCAUCUUUUUAGGACAAUUAUGUGUAGUGUGCCCCGGUUCGUGGCAAAAGAAACAAACUCCUUUACCCCACAUGCACUCUCCAUAGUGAUAUUUUCCACAUUUCUGGCAUUGUGGUCUUGUCCCCGUUGUUCCUGGAUUAACGCCUCCACCAAACUUCGGCCUCUUAUCUUGGAAGUUUCCUCCGCCUUGAUUAUAGUUCUCCCACUUCCUUUUCAUAGGUUGAUUCGCUGGCUUUUGUGCAGGGAUGUUUGACCCAAGAGCAGUUGCCACCUCUUCGGCUCGCUUAACCAAAUCGCUAAAAUCUUCAAUUACAUGUGCAGCCAUAAUUCCCUUGAUGUCAUUUCUCAGUCCCUUUCUAAACCUAGCUAUCAUUUUGUCUUCUGUGUCAACUAGGUGUGGUGCAAAACGAGCCAACUCAUUAAAUUUUCUCUCGUACUCCUCUAUAGUCAUAUUUCCUUGUUUCAACUCAAAGAACUCGGUUUCCUUCUUUUCUCUGAAUGACAGGGGAAAGUAUUUAUCCAUUACUACUCCCUUGAAGAUUUUCCAAUUGAGAACAUUGCGAUCCUCUUCUCCCAACAGACGAUAGAAAUGUUUCCACCAUUGUCGAGCGUCCUCUUUAAGUUGAAAAACAGCACAUGAAACUUUCUGUUCCUCGGUACAGUUGAUGUGAGUGAAAAUCCGUUCAAGCUCUUCCAACCACUCUUCAGCUGCUAGCGGUCCAUCACGUCCAUUGAACCGUGGCGGAUUAUUGUUCCGAAAUCGCUCUACCGCUUGAUCUAUCGUGUUAGAGGUCUGGUUUAGGUCACGUUGUGUGGCCUGAGUUUGGGUUUGGUGCUGGACAAAACCCUGUAAAGCACUCAGAAAUUGACCCAUGAAGUCUCCUCCAUUAGUUGGAUGAGGUUGUUCUGCUUCUGCUUCGGAAUUGGUAUUUGAGUUCUCGGCGUGGUGGGAAUGUGCACGCGUAUUCCUCAUGGUUCUAUAAUCAAAGGCACUAUGACAUAAAUGAAAGAUUAUAAAACAAGGUUAUUCCUAAUUCGAGGACUAUGUUCAACAUGAAAAUUUUAAACUCAUCAAAACUCAAUAUCAUGCACUGUAAAAUUCCGAAAUAAAAUUCAUGGCUGCAAUAAUUUUCAACAUAAUAACUUGCAUACUGAACUUGAACUUUCUGAUAAUAACUUCAACUAUUGCAGCAAAAUUCAACAUAAAUUUCGGAAUAUAAACAGUUUAUACUCAUCCCCUUGAAAACUUUUAAAAUAACUUUUACCUUGAAGUCGGAGCGCGUAGUGGUCGAAUGGCUUCGUCACAAAUGACUUGAAAAUAUUUUAAGAAAAACAUUUUAUUUUGCAGAGUCUACAGGAAAGUAGACCUGCUCUGAUACCAUGCUGUAACACCCUAAUCUAAUUAAAGUGUUAAAUAUGAAUUUAAAUAAUUUUUGACAGCGAAAAUAUCAUAAAAUAAAGAUUUGGAUUUAUUUUCAAAUAAAUAAAUUUUUAAAUAAAAUAUUUGAAAUAACUUAAAAAGAAGGCCAGCCAUGAUAGGAAGCUAAUAUGAUAACACUAAACUCGAUAAGUUACACCAAAAUCUCAAGAGUAGUUUGAGACUUCGAAAACUGUACAAAGCAAAAGGUUAGGUGUAACUACAACAUUAUAUUUUCCAAAAAUAUUUACUUGACGCGCUCAUUCGAUCCUCUACGCGUCUCCAACCUUAGUUACCUGAAAAUGUUAAAUAUGGGAUGAGCAUAUGAAAUAUACUCAGUGUGGGAACAUGCAAUAAUUGUCCACGUUAAUAAAAUGGUCAACACAUAAGCACUGCACUGUAAUACUGAUAACUGAAAUUCGCACGGUGGCAUACCAAGGACUUUAAAGUCCUGGACCCAUUGAGUGGGCCCCUGGCGAAUAGGUUGCAACCCUAACUGUAACAUGAAAUCGCAUUGUGGCAUACCAAGGACGGUGAAGUCCUGGACCCAUUGAGCGGGCCCCUAGCGAUAUAACUGAAUUUACAACACAUAUGGCAAACACAUAAUAUUAAAAUGGACAAAAAUUA
RNAcentral lists this long non-coding RNA (6573 nucleotides) under Salvia miltiorrhiza (redroot sage). Its description in RNAcentral is "long non-coding RNA (SMIL_LNC007740)". Lineage: Eukaryota; Viridiplantae; Streptophyta; Magnoliopsida; Lamiales; Lamiaceae. The record is from RNAcentral.